UCAUCAUCAUUAACUGUAAAAACCUUACAACCAAAACUUAAAUGCACCUACCCCUAAUAAAUGACCUC
RNAcentral lists this transfer RNA (68 nucleotides) under Cherax destructor. RNAcentral describes it as "tRNA-Val". The record is from RNAcentral. Lineage: Eukaryota; Metazoa; Arthropoda; Malacostraca; Decapoda; Parastacidae.